GAGUGUUACAGCUAUUUUAGAAUUUGUCUAGCCAGGUUUUUCUGUGAAAACCAGAAGCCCAU
This 62-nucleotide small nuclear RNA is filed under the name Carlito syrichta (Philippine tarsier). Its description in RNAcentral is "U7 small nuclear RNA (ENSTSYG00000034898.1)". It matches the Rfam family "U7 small nuclear RNA". From Rfam's summary of the family: Animal histone pre-mRNAs are spliced by a different mechanism than nuclear pre-mRNAs and self-splicing introns. This processing involves the U7 snRNP, which contains only one RNA species: U7. The 5' end of U7 RNA is thought to base-pair to a conserved spacer element downstream of the cleavage site in histone pre-mRNA. Lineage: Eukaryota; Metazoa; Chordata; Mammalia; Primates; Tarsiidae. The record is from Rfam by way of RNAcentral.